Molecule: ribosomal RNA, 440 nt
Filed under: uncultured bacterium
Lineage: Bacteria
Description: partial 16S ribosomal RNA
Rfam family: Bacterial small subunit ribosomal RNA
Source: RNAcentral
CCUACGGGUGGCAGCAGUGGGGGAUAUUGCACAAUGGGGGGAACCCUGAUGCAGCGACGCCGCGUGGGCGAAGAAGCGCCUCGGCGCGUAAAGCCCUGUCAGCAGGGAAGAAAAUGACGGUACCUGACGAAGAAGCCCCGGCUAAAUACGUGCCAGCAGCCGCGGUAAUACGUAGGGGGCAAGCGUUAUCCGGAUUUACUGGGUGUAAAGGGGGCGCAGGCGGCGAUGCAAGCCAGGAGUGAAAGCCCGGGGCCCAACCCCGGGACUGCUCUCGGAACUGCGUGGCUGGAGUGCAGGAGGGGCAGGCGGAAUUCCUGGUGUAACGGUGAAAUGCGUAGAUAUCAGGAGGAACACCGGUGGCGAAGGCGGCCUGCUGGACUGCAACUGACGUUGAGGCCCGAAAGCGUGGGGAGCAAACAGGAUUAGAUACCCUAGUAGUC